UUCUCCCUGUAGGAGAUGAUUUCUACCAGCAGAUAGAUUUAUUCUCCCUGUAGGAGAUGAUUUCUACCAGCAGAUAGACUUUAUUCUCCCUGAAGGAGAUGAUUUCUACCAGCAGAUGGCAACAUUUACACAGUUUUCCUCUGAACUGAUGA
Long non-coding RNA from Sander lucioperca (pikeperch), 152 nucleotides. RefSeq lists it as uncharacterized. The record is from RefSeq and is a predicted model, not a curated record. NCBI's taxonomy places the organism in Eukaryota, Metazoa, Chordata, Actinopteri, Perciformes, Percidae. The transcript is spliced from 3 exons.